Triplophysa rosa is the source of this 319-nucleotide long non-coding RNA. RefSeq lists it as uncharacterized. The record is from RefSeq and is a predicted model, not a curated record. Lineage: Eukaryota; Metazoa; Chordata; Actinopteri; Cypriniformes; Nemacheilidae. The transcript is spliced from 3 exons.
CUCUGUUUCUCCCGGUGCGGAAGACGGCGUGCUUGCUUUAUGAGUUUAAUCUAAAGAAGAGGUGUCUACAGUGUGAACUAUUGCAUAACUUUCCAUUCGGUCUGGCAGAUACAGGACAAAGGUCUCAGACGGGUGGUCGUUUUGUAACGUUGUGGGUUUAUGCCCUCGGCGCGUAAUUCAGAAUUCACGAUCCAUCUCAUGGACGCACACGAAUGCUUGGCUUGUUGUCGAGUGCCCACGGUCUCUGGAGGAAAUGUCAAGCGGGCUCAUUGUGAAGAACUGCUCCUACUUCAAACACUUCACAUCAGGGGAGGAGGCC